This 429-nucleotide ribosomal RNA is filed under the name Acidobacteriota bacterium. RNAcentral describes it as "Acidobacteria bacterium partial 16S ribosomal RNA". It matches the Rfam family "Bacterial small subunit ribosomal RNA", at positions 355 to 776 of the family's 1533-position model. Lineage: Bacteria; Pseudomonadati; Acidobacteriota. The record is from RNAcentral.
UGGGGAAUUUUGGACAAUGGGGGAAACCCUGAUCCAGCCAUCCCGCGUGUGCGAUGAAGGCCUUCGGGUUGUAAAGCACUUUUGGCAGGAAAGAAACGUCAUGGGUUAAUACCCCGUGAAACUGACGGUGCCUGCAGAAUAAGCACCGGCUAACUACGUGCCAGCAGCCGCGGUAAUACGUAGGGUGCAAGCGUUAAUCGGAAUUACUGGGCGUAAAGCGUGCGCAGGCGGUUCGGAAAGAAAGAUGUGAAAUCCCAGAGCUCAACUUUGGAACUGCAUUUUUAACUACCGGGCUAGAGUGUGUCAGAGGGAGGUGGAAUUCCGCGUGUAGCAGUGAAAUGCGUAGAUAUGCGGAGGAACACCGAUGGCGAAGGCAGCCUCCUGGGAUAACACUGACGCUCAUGCACGAAAGCGUGGGGAGCAAACAGG